GAUGAACGCUGACAGAAUGCUUAACACAUGCAAGUCUUUGGCGAAGCUGUGCUUGCACAGACGAGCCAAGGCGGACGGGUGAGUAACGCGUAAGGAACUUGCCCCGCAGACAGGGAUAACAGACGGAAACGACUGAUAAGACCUGGUGUUGUCAGGCUGACGCAUGUCAGGCUGAUGAAAGGAGACGCUGCGGGAGAGUCUUGCGUCCUAUUAGCUUGUUGGUGGGGUAACGGCCCACCAAGGCGAUGAUAGGUAGCCGGCCUGAGAGGGUGAACGGCCACAAGGGGACUGAGAUACGGCCCUUACUCCUACGGGAGGCAGCAGUGGGGAAUAUUGGACAAUGGGGGCAACCCUGAUCCAGCAAUUCUGUGUGCACGAAGAAGGUUUUCGGAUUGUAAAGUGCUUUCAGCAGGGAAGAAGCAAGUGACGGUACCUGCAGAAGAAGCGACGGCUAAAUACGUGCCAGCAGCCGCGGUAAUACGUAUGUCGCAAGCGUUAUCCGGAAUUAUUGGGCAUAAAGGGCAUCUAGGCGGCCCUGUAAGUCUAGGGUGAAAACCUGCGGCUCAACCGCAGGCCUGCCCCGGAAACUACAGGGCUGGAGUAUUGGAGAGGUGGACGGAACUGCACGAGUAGAGGUGAAAUUCGUAGAUAUGUGCAGGAAUGCCGAUGAUGAAGAUAGUUCACUGGACGAUAACUGACGCUGAAGUGCGAAAGCUGGGGGAGCGAACAGGAUUAGAUACCCUGGGUAGUCCAAGGGCGAAUUCCACAGUGGAUAUCAAGCUUAUCGAUACCGUCGACCUCGAGGUGCGACCCGGGUACCCAGCUUUUGUUCCCUUUAGUGAGGGUUAA
Molecule: ribosomal RNA, 849 nt
Filed under: uncultured Leptotrichia sp.
Lineage: Bacteria; Fusobacteriati; Fusobacteriota; Fusobacteriia; Fusobacteriales; Leptotrichiaceae
Description: bacterial SSU rRNA
Rfam family: Bacterial small subunit ribosomal RNA
Source: RNAcentral